RNAcentral lists this ribosomal RNA (259 nucleotides) under Funneliformis mosseae. Lineage: Eukaryota; Fungi; Glomeromycota; Glomeromycetes; Glomerales; Glomeraceae. The record is from RNAcentral.
CAGUCGUACCAACGGGAAAUCAACCUAUUGAGCUUGGUCUCGUGGGUUUUGAAGAGUUUCAAAGCCUUCGGAUUCGCGGGAUUGGGAUCUCUUGGUGUACUUUUUCGUACGGUUAGUCAACAUCGGUUUUGAAUGUCAUAAAAUGAUUGGGGGAAUGUAGCUUCGAUCUUGUAUUGAAGUGUUAUAGCCUUCGGUAGAUGUGAUGAUCGGGAUUGAGGAUUGCAACGGAUACCCUUCGGGGCUACCUGUCUGGUCUCUG